CUUCUGGCAGCAGUGGGAGAUCCAGAAAGAGGACGCAGUCAGGCAUCCUUUAUUAUUCAGAGUUUUUUGGCACAUUUGAGUCUUUGCGCGUUCCUCGUCUUGCACUCCCACAAGCGACGUGGUUCCAAUGCUCAAAAUUCAUACCUUACUCGGCGACAGCGCUCCUGGCUCAUGUUUGAAAGCACACGGGCGUGCACGUAAACAUAUGCGUAGAUGUGGACAAUCUGUCAAGCUCACAGUUCAAAUUCUGGGUCUUCAUCAGACGAAAAUGUUACGCUAAAGCGAAUGCAGAUGUGGCAGUACGGUCGUCUAAACAAGGCUUUCUGAUUCACUGGCUUGUUAUUUGUACAGAUGAAUGUUUUUACUGUAUCGGCCUAAAAUGUGUGUGUGUGUGUGAGAGAGAGAGAGAGAUAUACAGCAAAGAUUUCCAUGAUAAACACGGAGAACGCUACGUUAUGAUCCAACAAUUUAAUAUUCACGAAAUCAGAAUUAUAGCACGUUUACUAUUUACAGCUCUGUACAGCGUGUAUGAGUGUGUGUGUGUGUGUGUGUGUGUGU
Thalassophryne amazonica is the source of this 558-nucleotide long non-coding RNA. RefSeq lists it as uncharacterized. Lineage: Eukaryota; Metazoa; Chordata; Actinopteri; Batrachoidiformes; Batrachoididae. The transcript has 2 exons. The record is from RefSeq and is a predicted model, not a curated record.